AACCGCGAACGGCUCAUUACAACAGCUAUAAUCUACUCGAUCUUGAACAGUUACUCGGAUAACUGUGGUAAUUCUAGAGCUAAUACGUGCACCGAAGCUGUCCCUCACGGGGCAGUGCAUUUAUUGGAGCAAAACCAGGCGGCCUCGGCCGUUUUUGCUGACUCAGAAUUACUAAGCUGACCGCAUGGGCUUGACCCGGCGGCGUGUCGUUCGAGUGUCUGCCUUAUCAACUUUCGAUGGUAGUGUAUCUGACUACCAUGGUUGUGACGGGUAACGGAGGAUAAGGGUUCGACUCCGGAGAAGGGGCCUGAGAAAUGGCCACUACGUCUAAGGAUGGCAGCAGGCGCGCAAAUUACCCACUCUCGGUUCGAGGAGGUAGUGACGAAACAUAACAAGGACGUUCUCUACGAGGCCGUCCAUUGGAAUGGGUACAACUCAAACCCUUUAACGAGUAUCAAUGAGAGGGCAAGUCUGGUGCCAGCAGCCGCGGUAAUUCCAGCUCUCAAAAUGCAUAGAAUCAUUGCUGCGGUUAAAAAGCUCGUAGUUGGAUCUGUGCCGGCGACGUGGUCCACCUUGACGGGCGGCACUGCGCUCGCCGGCUUUGGGCCGGUCUUCGUCUGGGUGCCUUCACUGGUCGCUCAGUCGUGGCUGGCUGGUUUACUUUGAGCAAAUCAGAGUGCUCAGCACAGGCGUCUCGCCGGAAUGUUCGUGCAUGGAAUAAUAGAAAAGGAUCACGGUCCUCUUUUAUUGGUUUUGUGGACUGAGAUAAUGGUUAACAGAGACGAACGGGGGCAUUCGUAUUGCU
RNAcentral lists this ribosomal RNA (805 nucleotides) under Caloosia longicaudata. RNAcentral describes it as "SSU rRNA". It matches the Rfam family "Eukaryotic small subunit ribosomal RNA", at positions 85 to 901 of the family's 1831-position model. Lineage: Eukaryota; Metazoa; Nematoda; Chromadorea; Rhabditida; Hemicycliophoridae. The record is from RNAcentral.